UGGCGAUGCGUCUUAAGCAUGCAAGUCGAGCGGGCUUAUUCGGGCAACUGGAUAAGUUAGCGGCGAACUGGUGAGUAACACGUAGGUAAUCUGCCGUAGAGUGGGGGAUAACCCAUGGAAACAUGGACUAAUACCGCAUAUACUCUUGCUACAUAAGUAGAGUAGAGGAAAGGAGCAAUCCGCUUUACGAUGAGCCUGCGGCCUAUUAGCCUGUUGGUGGGGUAACGGCCUACCAAAGCUACGAUAGGUAGCCGACCUGAGAGGGUGACCGGCCACAUUGGGACUGAGAUACGGCCCAGACUCCUACGGGAGGCAGCAGCUGAGAAUCUUCCACAAUGGACGAAAGUCU
RNAcentral lists this ribosomal RNA (349 nucleotides) under Brachyspira hyodysenteriae. Its description in RNAcentral is "bacterial SSU rRNA". It matches the Rfam family "Bacterial small subunit ribosomal RNA", at positions 37 to 384 of the family's 1533-position model. The record is from RNAcentral. Lineage: Bacteria; Pseudomonadati; Spirochaetota; Spirochaetia; Brachyspirales; Brachyspiraceae.